GGCAAACUGCUCCGGUCCCUUCCCACGCUGUGGGAGCUUUGUUCUUUCUCUGUUUGCAAUAAAUCUUGCUGCUGCUCACUCUUUGGGUCCCCAGUGCCCUUAUGAGCUGUAACACUCACCGCGAAGGUUUGCAGUUUCACUCCUGAAGCCAGCGAGACCACGAACCCUCCGGGAGGAACGAACAACUCCGGACACGCCGCCUUUAAGAACUGUAACACUCACCGCGAGCGUCCGCAGCUUCAUUCUUGAAGUCAGUGAGACCAAGAACCCACAAUUCCGGACACAGUAGGAGCCAGUGUUACAAAAAACAAAAGCAGAACCAAUUUCCUGCCUUCAAGGAACAUGAAGUCACUGAAUCCCAUCAUCUUUAUUGAGAGACAUUCCUUUGGAAAGAAUACUUCCAAUCAUUCUAUCAAAAAUCUUAUACUUGAAGAGAAGCCCUGCUGGAAUGAAAGCUCCAGAUGGCCUUGUUUCAGAGUACGGGAAUGGACGAAGAUAGAAUAUUACCAGAACCAAAGUACAAGUCCUGCUACAAAUAGGGUGCUUCUCUGAUCCUGACAUGAAAAAUAUAUGUUCAAAGCUACAGUCAUGGGAUUAUAACCUAUGUCUCAAAAAUCAUUCAGCCUCAUUGUUCAAGCCCAAGAAUUCACCCAAGGAUGAAGAGUGUUAGAUAUUAAUGUAGACUCAAAGCUUGUUACCUAUUACUACAUGACAAGGAUUUUAUGUUUUUUUUCUUACUUCAGUGCUCAUAGUGGCUUCCUACAUCAUGUUGACUAGGUAUCAAGCCAUUUCCUAGCUCCCUGUAGCAAGUUUAUUUCUCUCAUCUUUUGCAGUUUUCUACACAGGACCUGACCAGUUUUGCUUUGUGUCUUUUGCUAUGUCAUACACUGAAUGAGUAAUCCUAUUAUUCAAAGAGAUUAUUUUACUAAGUUAGUAUUUUAAGCAUAGCUUAUAGUAGAGUGAGCAUAAUUGAGCAACACCAAACUUUUAAAAUGUAUUUCUUACCCAUUUACAUGAAUAGUUUCAUUUAAUUUAUUGGCAAGUCUACAAGUGUCUUUGAGGGUUGACUUUCUGA
This 1075-nucleotide long non-coding RNA is filed under the name Homo sapiens (human). Its description in RNAcentral is "non-protein coding lnc-ZIC4-3:7". Lineage: Eukaryota; Metazoa; Chordata; Mammalia; Primates; Hominidae. The record is from RNAcentral.